Molecule: long non-coding RNA, 463 nt
Filed under: Nicotiana tabacum (common tobacco)
Lineage: Eukaryota; Viridiplantae; Streptophyta; Magnoliopsida; Solanales; Solanaceae
Description: long non-coding RNA (NTAB_LNC018087)
Source: RNAcentral
UGACUUGAACUUUUUACGAUAUGAGUUGAAACUUUUAGGAUAUGAGUUGAACUUUUAGGACAUAAAUUGAACCUUUAGGAUAUGACUUGAACUUUUAGUUUAUGUUUAAACUCGUAGGAUAUGAAUAUAACUUUUAGUUUUUAGGUUUUGUUCUUGUGAAUUGAACUUGUAGGAUAUAAAUUGAAACUUUUAGGAUAUGAGUUGAAUUUUUAGGAUAUAAAUAGAAAUUUUAGGAUAUGACUUGAAGUUUUGUGGAUAUGAAUUGAACCUUUAGGAUAUAAAUUGAACUUUUAGUUUAUGUUUAAACUCGUAGGAUAAGAAUUGAUGAACUUUUAGUUUUUAGAUUUUGUUCUUGUGAAUUGAACUUGUACGAUAUAAAUUGAAGCUUUUAUGUAUGACUUGAACUUUUUACGAUAUGAGUUGAAACUUUUAGGAUAUGAGUUGAACUUUUUGGAUAUGAAUU